CCUACGGGAGGCAGCAGUGGGGAAUAUUGGGCAAUGGAGGAAACUCUGACCCAGCAACGCCGCGUGAAUGAUGAAGGUCUUCGGAUUGUAAAGUUCUUUUCUAAGGGAAGAAGAAAGUGACGGUACCUUAGGAAUAAGCCUCGGCUACCUACGUGCCAGCAGCCGCGGUAAUACGUAGGAGGCGGGCGUUAUCCGGACUGACUGGGCGGAAAGGGGGCGUAGGGGGUUUGUCAAGUGAGGAGCGUAACGCCAAGGCUUAACCUUGGAAGUACUACUAAAACUGUUGGACUUGAGUGCAGGAGGGGCAACCGGAAUUCCAAGUGUAGCGGUGGAAUGCGUAGAUAUUAGGAGGAACACCAGUGGCGAAGGCGGGUUGCUAGACUGUAACUGACACUGAGGCACGAAAGCGUGGGGAGCAAACAGGAUUAGAUACCCGUGUAGUC
RNAcentral lists this ribosomal RNA (443 nucleotides) under uncultured bacterium. RNAcentral describes it as "partial 16S ribosomal RNA". It matches the Rfam family "Bacterial small subunit ribosomal RNA", at positions 338 to 795 of the family's 1533-position model. The record is from RNAcentral.